Molecule: ribosomal RNA, 615 nt
Filed under: Triticum aestivum (bread wheat)
Lineage: Eukaryota; Viridiplantae; Streptophyta; Magnoliopsida; Poales; Poaceae
Description: partial small subunit ribosomal RNA
Source: RNAcentral
AUGGAGGCCCAAGCCGCCAUCCUCGUCGGGCGUCCACCUCCAUCCCGCGCCUGCAACCCUGCUCUAGGGCGAGAGGAGUUCGAUCCCGAGCGCCUUCUGCCCGUCUUGUCCGCGCUGCAGCCCCGCUUUGACUUCCCACGUUUCUCCUUCCCACGCACCGGCUCCUUCUCCCUCGCGCCCGAAGCCUUGCUGCUGCCUGCGUUCACCCACCACUUGCAAGCUGACAGAGCAGGACCUUCUAGUCGUCGCUCGGCCUCGUCUAGCAGCCUCCUGCGGCCUAUCAUCGCCAUAGCCUUGAGGAGCCACCCAAGCUGCCGGCCGCUCUGGCCCUUGCACAUCACGUUUGACCCGAGGAGACCGACACCGCCGGCAAGACCAAGGAUGCCCAAACGAGUGCUCCCGAUCGAGACUUUUGUGCUGCUACGUUUUGGACACGCCCAGUCCCUCGGAAACAUCAUAUGCGCCAAGUUUCGUUUAAAGAUGGUCAACUACAGCCUAUGUGGAUUUCGCCAAGUACCACGACGUCCGUCGAUCGCCAAGUACCCCUUCGAAUACGCAAGUCCCUCGAAGGUUCACCGAUGCCAAGUAUCACACAGAAACGCCAAGUACCCCUAA